AAGCGGUGGAGUAUGUGGUUUAAUUCGAUGCAACGCGAAGAACCUUACCUGGUCUUGACAUCCCGGAGACCCUUAGGAAACUAGGGGUGCUUCCAUCUGGAAGAAUCUGGAGACAGGUGCUGCAUGGCUGUCGUCAGCUCGUGUCGUGAGAUGUUGGGUUAAGUCCCGCAACGAGCGCAGCCCUAUCUUAUGUUGCCAGCACGUUAUGGUGGGGACUCGUAAGAGACUGCCGGGGUCAACUCGGAGGAAGGUGGGGACGACGUCAAGUCAUCAUGCCCCUUAUGUCCAGGGCUUCACACAUGCUACAAUGGCCAGUACAGAGGGCUGCGAGACCGUGAGGUGGAGCGAAUCCCUUAAAGCUGGUCUCAGUUCGGAUCGGGGUCUGCAACUCGACCCCGUGAAGUCGGAGUCGCUAGUAAUCGCAGAUCAGCAACGCUGCGGUGAAUACGUUCCCGGGCCUU
This 461-nucleotide ribosomal RNA is filed under the name uncultured Rhodococcus sp. Its description in RNAcentral is "bacterial SSU rRNA". It matches the Rfam family "Bacterial small subunit ribosomal RNA", at positions 927 to 1382 of the family's 1533-position model. Lineage: Bacteria; Bacillati; Actinomycetota; Actinomycetes; Mycobacteriales; Nocardiaceae. The record is from RNAcentral.